AUUGAACGCUGGCGGCAUGCUCUACACAUGCAAGUCGAACGGUAACAGGCCGCAAGGUGCUGACGAGUGGCGAACGGGUGAGUAAUGCAUCGGAACGUGCCCAGUCGUGGGGGAUAACUACUCGAAAGAGUAGCUAAUACCGCAUACGAUCUAUGGAUGAAAGCGGGGGACCGUAAGGCCUCGCGCGAUUGGAGCGGCCGAUGUCAGAUUAGGUAGUUGGUGGGGUAAAGGCUCACCAAGCCAACGAUCUGUAGCUGGUCUGAGAGGACGACCAGCCACACUGGGACUGAGACACGGCCCAGACUCCUACGGGAGGCAGCAGUGGGGAAUUUUGGACAAUGGGCGCAAGCCUGAUCCAGCAAUGCCGCGUGCAGGAAGAAGGCCUUCGGGUUGUAAACUGCUUUUGUACGGAACGAAACGGCUCUGGUUAAUACCCGGGGAUAAUGACGGUACCGUAAGAAUAAGCACCGGCUAACUACGUG
Molecule: ribosomal RNA, 482 nt
Filed under: uncultured bacterium
Lineage: Bacteria
Description: partial 16S ribosomal RNA
Rfam family: Bacterial small subunit ribosomal RNA
Source: RNAcentral